This 465-nucleotide long non-coding RNA is filed under the name Heterocephalus glaber (naked mole-rat). Its description in RNAcentral is "lncRNA (ENSHGLG00100034594.1)". Lineage: Eukaryota; Metazoa; Chordata; Mammalia; Rodentia; Bathyergidae. The record is from RNAcentral.
CUCAACACAUCAAUGCCAUAUUAACGCGUAUGAUCAACCAUCCUUUUUGUAAGGAAUGAGAAGGAAACCUGGUAUCUCUCCGCAGAGAAGGCUUCCCCCACAAGAAGACCUACUCUUACAUGCUCAUAUGCUUGCAUUCUGCAUGGGGAAAAGAAAGAGGAAGGAGAGAGAAACCAAGCAAGUAGAUGGAAGAGUGAGAAAGGAGGAAGACAGAAAAGUUCCUUCUUUCCUUUUUUCCCAGAGAGUAGAUGGUUAAUUCCUUCCUUGGUAUGGAACAGGAUGAAAUAACAAUUUUGAUAUUAUUAUUUGGUUUUAUACAGAAGACAACUUUAGUUCUGAAGUAUAGUUCAUUUGGCUACAUCAUGAAUCUGUGCGAUAAAAGAAAAUUGAAGAUUUAAAUGCAGAUCAGAUGGCGUGUCUGAGAGAAGUCUCGAAAAAGGUUAUGACUGGGACAUUGGUUAGGAG